RNAcentral lists this long non-coding RNA (566 nucleotides) under Ananas comosus (pineapple). Its description in RNAcentral is "long non-coding RNA (ACOM_LNC029752)". The record is from RNAcentral. Lineage: Eukaryota; Viridiplantae; Streptophyta; Magnoliopsida; Poales; Bromeliaceae.
AAUAUACAAGAUUUUAAUAUAAAAGUAAAAAUAAAUAAAAAUAGUGUGAGAUACUAUUUCUAUUGUAUUUAGAGAAGUAAAACAUAAAUCGGAAACGACUUGUGCUGGAAUCGUACGGAAACAGAAGAUUUAGAAUUUUCUUUGAGAAGCCGGGCUGAUAUUUUAGCAGAAAAUAUACAGUGUCAGAAAAUUAUGAAAACUGAAGAAUAUGUCAGAAUUAUUUUUAUGAGGCCGAUUUAAAGUUUCAUGUCAUUCUGACAUCCGAAAGGUGGAAAAUAAAAUCCGACUGCUAUCUGCUAGAGAUUACAGUUCGGUAGAACUUUCGGUGACCAAAAAUGGUCAAAACUGAAAAGUUAAGAUAUAUUCUAUUUAUUUAGCAAAAGUCGAGCCUGACUGUCAAAUUUGAGCGCAAACGGACGUUCAGAAGGGCCGGCGAAAGGUAUCUGUACUUGAACUGCUAAAUUGAAAGUUGAAUAGUGUUGAGGGGCUUUGUGUAAAAAGGAUUUCUCCCCUUUUCUUCCCCUCCAUCAGCCAACGCACACACACACACCACGCACACACGCAUG